This 73-nucleotide transfer RNA is filed under the name Cimex lectularius (bed bug). Its description in RNAcentral is "tRNA-Lys". It matches the Rfam family "tRNA". From Rfam's summary of the family: Transfer RNA (tRNA) molecules are approximately 80 nucleotides in length. Their secondary structure includes four short double-helical elements and three loops (D, anti-codon, and T loops). The record is from Rfam by way of RNAcentral. Lineage: Eukaryota; Metazoa; Arthropoda; Insecta; Hemiptera; Cimicidae.
GUCACGAUAGCUCAAGUGGUAGAGCAGCGGCGUUUUUAGCCGAAGGUCGUGGGUUCGAAUCCCGCUUGUGACA